Molecule: unclassified non-coding RNA, 405 nt
Filed under: soil metagenome
Description: partial contains 5.8S ribosomal RNA, internal transcribed spacer 2, and large subunit ribosomal RNA
Rfam family: 5.8S ribosomal RNA (bases 3-120)
Source: RNAcentral
GAGAAGAACGUAGCGAAAUGCGAUAAGUAAUGUGAAUUGCAGAAUUCAGUGAAUCAUCGAAUCUUUGAACGCACCUUGCGCCCUUUGGCCAUUCCGAAGGGCAUGCCUGUUUGAGUAUCAUGAACACCUCAACUCUUCAUGGUUUUCCAUGAUGAGCUUGGACUUUGGGGGUCUUGCUGGCCUGUGGGUCGGCUCCUCUCAAAUGAAUCAGCUUGCCAGUUUUUGGUGGGCAUCACAGGUGUGAUAACUAUCUACGCUUGUGGUUUUCCACCAGGGUAACCUUCAGCAGUGGAGGUUCACUGGAGCUUACAAAUGUCUCUCCUCUGUGAGGACAGCCCUUUGAAUGUUUGAUCUCAAAUCAGGUAGGACUACCCGCUGAACUUAAGCAUAUCAAUAAGCGGAGGA